CAAUAGCGUAUAUUAAAGUUGUUGCGGUUAAAAAGCUCGUAGUUGGAGUUCUGCCAGGUGCCGCCUGUCCGCCCCAGUGGUGAGUACGUGGCGCGCAUUUGGCCCUUUCAAGGGGAGCGUAUCUGCACUUUAUUGUGUGGUGCGGGAUCCUUGACUUUUACUUUGAGGAAAUAGGAGUGUUCCAAGCAGGCUCUCGUCGUGCACAGCUCAGCAUGGAAUAAUAGCAUUGGACCUCGAUUCUAAGCUGUUGGUUGCCAGAAGCGAGGUAAUGAUGAAGAGGGAUAGUUGGGGGCAUUCGUAUUUAACCGUCAGAGGUGAAAUUCUUGGAUUUGUUAAAGACGGACUACUGCGAAAGCAUCUGCCAUGGAUGUUUUCAUUGA
RNAcentral lists this ribosomal RNA (380 nucleotides) under uncultured eukaryote. Its description in RNAcentral is "partial 18S ribosomal RNA". It matches the Rfam family "Eukaryotic small subunit ribosomal RNA", at positions 592 to 976 of the family's 1831-position model. The record is from RNAcentral.